UACGAAGGGUGCAAGCGUUACUCGGAAUUACUGGGCGUAAAGCGUACGUAGGUGGUUCGUUAAGUCUGAUGUGAAAGCCCUGGGCUCAACCUGGGAAUGGCAUUGGAUACUGGCGACCUAGAGUGCGGUAGAGGGGUGUGGAAUUCCCGGUGUAGCAGUGAAAUGCGUAGAUAUCGGGAGGAACAUCUGUGGCGAAGGCGACACCCUGGACCAGCACUGACACUGAGGCACGAAAGCGUGGGGAGCAAACAGG
RNAcentral lists this ribosomal RNA (253 nucleotides) under uncultured bacterium. RNAcentral describes it as "partial 16S ribosomal RNA". It matches the Rfam family "Bacterial small subunit ribosomal RNA", at positions 524 to 776 of the family's 1533-position model. The record is from RNAcentral.